This 497-nucleotide ribosomal RNA is filed under the name uncultured bacterium. Its description in RNAcentral is "partial 16S ribosomal RNA". It matches the Rfam family "Bacterial small subunit ribosomal RNA", at positions 28 to 507 of the family's 1533-position model. The record is from RNAcentral.
GAUGAACGCUGGCGGCGUGCCUAAUACAUGCAAGUCGAGCGAACAGACGAGGAGCUUGCUCCUCUGACGUUAGCGGCGGACGGGUGAGUAACACGAGGAUAACCUACCUAUAAGACUGGGAUAACUUCGGGAAACCGGAGCUAAUACCGGAUAAGAUAUAGAACCGCAUGGUUCAAUAGUGAAAGACGGUUUUGCUGACAAGAAUAGAUGGAACCGCGCCGCAUUAGAUAGUUGGGAAGGUAACGGCGUACCAAGGCAACGAUGCGUAGCCGACCUGAGAGGGUGAUCGGCCACACUGGAACUGAGACACGGUCCAGACUCCUACGGGAGGCAGCAGUCGGGCAUCUUCGUCAAUGGUCUCCCUCUUUCCCCCUCCCCCCCUCCUGUGUGCUGCCCUUCUUCUGAUCGUACAACUCUGUUAUUAGGGCAUAACCUCUUUGUAAGUAACUAUUCACGUCUUGACGGUACCUAAUCAGCACGCCACGGCUAACUACGUG